This 73-nucleotide transfer RNA is filed under the name Tessaracoccus defluvii. It matches the Rfam family "tRNA". Rfam says of the family: Transfer RNA (tRNA) molecules are approximately 80 nucleotides in length. Their secondary structure includes four short double-helical elements and three loops (D, anti-codon, and T loops). Further hydrogen bonds mediate the characteristic L-shaped molecular structure. tRNAs have two regions of fundamental functional importance: the anti-codon, which is responsible for specific mRNA codon recognition, and the 3' end, to which the tRNAs corresponding amino acid is attached (by aminoacyl-tRNA synthetases). tRNAs cope with the degeneracy of the genetic code in two manners: having more than one tRNA (with a specific anti-codon) for a particular amino acid; and 'wobble' base-pairing, i.e. permitting non-standard base-pairing at the 3rd anti-codon position. Lineage: Bacteria; Bacillati; Actinomycetota; Actinomycetes; Propionibacteriales; Propionibacteriaceae. The record is from Rfam by way of RNAcentral.
GCCGCCCUAGCUCAGUUGGUAGAGCGACGCUCUCGUAAAGCGUAGGUCACGGGUUCGAGUCCCGUGGGCGGCU